GCUCAGUUGGUAGUAGCGCAUGACUGUUAAUCAUGAUGUCGUAGGUUCGAGUCCUACUGGCGGAG
This 65-nucleotide transfer RNA is filed under the name Streptococcus sp. SR1. Its description in RNAcentral is "tRNA-Asn". It matches the Rfam family "tRNA", at positions 10 to 71 of the family's 71-position model. From Rfam's summary of the family: Transfer RNA (tRNA) molecules are approximately 80 nucleotides in length. The record is from RNAcentral. Lineage: Bacteria; Bacillati; Bacillota; Bacilli; Lactobacillales; Streptococcaceae.